This 414-nucleotide unclassified non-coding RNA is filed under the name soil metagenome. Its description in RNAcentral is "partial contains 5.8S ribosomal RNA, internal transcribed spacer 2, and large subunit ribosomal RNA". The stretch from base 1 to 121 matches the Rfam family "5.8S ribosomal RNA", at positions 35 to 154 of the family's 154-position model. The record is from RNAcentral.
GAUGAAGAACGUAGCGAAAUGCGAUACGUAGUGUGAAUUGCAGAAUUCCGUGAAUCAUCGAAUCUUUGAACGCAUAUUGCGCCCACGGCCUCGGCCCAAGGGCAUGCCUGUCUCAGCGUCCGCUCACCCCCUCGCCCUCCCCCUUUCGAUUCGAAAGGGCGGUUUGGACGGAUGUGGCCGUCUCCCUCUCUCUUUUUGAAAGAGCGGGUCGGCUGAAGCGCAGGGCUCGCGGCGGGACCCCAUUCGAUCGGGGCGCCAGCAUGGUAGGUGGCUCAACGCUCACAUAUCGGCUGUCGUCUCCCACAUCACCGGGCGCUCCGCCUGCUGCCACAGCAGGAAAACCCCAAUCAAAACCUUGGACCUGAGAUCAGACAAGACCACCCGCUGAACUUAAGCAUAUCAAUAAGCGGAGGA